This 524-nucleotide long non-coding RNA is filed under the name Solanum tuberosum (potato). RNAcentral's name for it is "long non-coding RNA (STUB_LNC000174)". The record is from RNAcentral. Lineage: Eukaryota; Viridiplantae; Streptophyta; Magnoliopsida; Solanales; Solanaceae.
UUUCUAAUAUUAUAAUCAAAGAACAAAAUAGCAAUAUAAUAAGUUUUUGUAAAAGUAAACAAUGUCAAAACAAAUUAUCUUUUCUAUCUCAAGUAAAAUUGAGAUCUAACUAAAUGUAAUAAUCUCAACAUAAAACCAACUAAUUAACUCCUAAUUUAAAUGGAAUUAAAAUCUCCAGUAAAUUUGCAAUAAAUCUUUAUGAAAUCAUCAAUCCAAAAGUCGAGCAUGUUGAAGUCGAUACUUGACCUCAAUUUCCUUAAAAAUUCUGCACAAGAAAUGCACAUAAGAAAAUUUAUAACUAUAUAAUAAUAGAAAUUAGAUCCUCAUUAACUAGAACAAAUUGGGAUAUCAAAAAUGACUAAUUGAAUUUUUCUAAAAACAAACAUAUUAAGGAAUUGAUGCAAAAGCAGUAAUUAUACAUAUGAAAUUUUCCUCCUUUUGAAAGAAAAGAAAGAUCUUGUAGUGUUUUCAAACAUACCCACUUCUUUUUAUUUGUGCCAACUACGAUAGUUCCAGUCUUCUUG